This 788-nucleotide long non-coding RNA is filed under the name Zostera marina. RNAcentral's name for it is "long non-coding RNA (ZMAR_LNC002712)". The record is from RNAcentral. Lineage: Eukaryota; Viridiplantae; Streptophyta; Magnoliopsida; Alismatales; Zosteraceae.
AUUCCAAAAAUCUUUGUCUUCAUUCUUCCUCACUGUUCAUUCUCAUUCUCAUUCUCUUAUUGUCUUCAUGGCUACUCCCUCCGACUCAUCAUCAUCGAAGGGUGAGGGCACCAAUCACGACAUGGUAUCAGAACUUGCCGGCUCCGGUACCUCAAUUUAGCCACUCCUGACUUCUUCAAGUCGAUGCCAUCAUUUGGCUCGAUCCAAUCGUUUCUGUAGGUGAAGCUGACCACGACGAAGUAUAUCGUGUGGAAGAUAUGCAGUUCACUCCGCUCCUCAACUGUUUCAACCUGCAAUAAUCAUUCAUCAAUGUCGAUGAAACUCCGGUCGCCAAUAUUCGUCGAGCGCCGAUUAUAUCCUAUGAUGGAGAAAGGAUCAGCUUCUGCUCAGCUGGAUGAUCUCUGUCCGAAAACAUCCUACCAUCUGUGGUAGGAAUGUCAUCGUCGAGCGCGAUCUGGAAGUCGCCGAGACAUCCUACAAAGCUUUUUUAAUUUUUUUUAUCGAGUCUUAUUGAACUUAUCCAGCACCAUAACCCGAUCGAGAACUCGACACUAUAAGAAAAGAGGUUUUCAACAAUGAUUUUAGCAGCGGAUUUGGAUCGUCGAUAAAUUUCAAAAAGAAUUAAAAAAAAACCACGAUAUUGGCGAAGAUUAUAAAUAUUUAUAUCAUCGCUAAUUAGGACUGACAAUUCGUGUUGGCCGACGAUAUUCCCUCAGUUCCACCGCCGGUGGCAGCCAUCUGCAAAAGUCAAUGUUUGCAGACGAUGUGCAAUCUGGAACAGUGGCGGC